This 467-nucleotide ribosomal RNA is filed under the name uncultured bacterium. Its description in RNAcentral is "partial 16S ribosomal RNA". It matches the Rfam family "Bacterial small subunit ribosomal RNA", at positions 28 to 507 of the family's 1533-position model. The record is from RNAcentral.
GACGAACGCUGGCGGCGUGCCUAACACAUGCAAGUCGAACGAUGACGACCGAGCUUGCUCGGUCUGAUUAGUGGCGAACGGGUGAGUAACACGUGAGCAACCUGCCCUUCACUCUGGGAUAACCUCGGGAAAUCGGGGCUAAUACCGGAUAUGAGCUCCUGUCGCAUGGCGGGUGUUGGAAAGUUUUUCGGUGAAGGAUGGGCUCGCGGCCUAUCAGUUUGUUGGUGAGGUAGUGGCUCACCAAGGCGAUGACGGGUAGCCGGCCUGAGAGGGCGACCGGCCACACUGGGACUGAGACACGGCCCAGACUCCUACGGGAGGCAGCAGUGGGGAAUAUUGCACAAUGGGCGAAAGCCUGAUGCAGCGACGCCGCGUGAGGGAUGACGGCCUUCGGGUUGUAAACCUCUUUCAGCAGGGAAGAAGCGAAAGUGACGGUACCUGCAGAAGAAGCGCCGGCUAACUACGUG